ACUGCGAAAGCAUUUGCCA
This 19-nucleotide non-coding RNA is filed under the name Arabidopsis thaliana (thale cress). The record is from RNAcentral. Lineage: Eukaryota; Viridiplantae; Streptophyta; Magnoliopsida; Brassicales; Brassicaceae.